GGUUGCGAUCAUACCAGCACUAAUGCACCGGAUCCCAUCAGAACUCCGCAGUUAAGCGUGCUUGGGCGAGAGUAGUACUAGGAAGGUGACCCCCCUGGGAAGUCCUCGUGUUGCAACCC
This 119-nucleotide ribosomal RNA is filed under the name Helianthus annuus (common sunflower). Lineage: Eukaryota; Viridiplantae; Streptophyta; Magnoliopsida; Asterales; Asteraceae. The record is from RNAcentral.